Molecule: ribosomal RNA, 513 nt
Filed under: uncultured bacterium
Lineage: Bacteria
Description: partial 16S ribosomal RNA
Rfam family: Bacterial small subunit ribosomal RNA
Source: RNAcentral
GACGAACGCUGACGGCAUGCCUAAUACAUGCAAGUCGAGCGAACAGAUGAAGUGCUUGCACUUCUGACGUUAGCGGCGAACAGGUGAGUAACACGUAAGGAAUCUACCUAUAAGCGGGGGAUAACAUUCGGAAACGGGUGCUAAUACCGCAUAAUAUCUUCUUCCGCAUGGAAGAAGAUUGAAAGACGGCUCUGCUUUCACUUAUAGAUGACCUUGCGGUGCAUUAGUUAGUUGGUGGGGUAACGGCCUACCAAGACGAUGAUGCAUAGCCGACCUGAGAGGGUGAUCGGCCACAUUGGGACUGAGACACGGCCAAAACUCCUACGGGAGGCAGCAGUAGGGGAUCUUCCGCAAUGGGCGAAAGCCUGACGGAGCAGUGCCGCGUGAGUGAAGAAGGCCUUCGGGUCGUAAAACUCUGUUAUAAGAGAAGAACAAAUUGUAGAGUAACUGCUACAGUCUUGACGGUAUCUUAUCAGAAAGCCACGGCUAACUACGUGCCAGCCGCCGCGGUAA